Magnolia sinica is the source of this 2725-nucleotide long non-coding RNA. RefSeq lists it as uncharacterized. The record is from RefSeq and is a predicted model, not a curated record. Lineage: Eukaryota; Viridiplantae; Streptophyta; Magnoliopsida; Magnoliales; Magnoliaceae. The transcript has 2 exons.
AAAAACAGGUGGAAUGGUUGGAAUAAAUUUGAUCAAUGGCCCUCAUUCUAUUUACUAACUGAAAGUUUUUGAUUGGCUGUCCACUGUGAGUCCCAUCUCAUCAACAUUAUCAAUUAUUGAAUUAUAGGCCCUACUUGUACAAACUGAAAGCCCUAACAUACCAUAUAAGCCUACAGCCACAUUGAGAAGAGAUUGAAGAGUUGUGGCUCACACAGGAGAGAUUUGGACCAAUCACUAAAUGGGGCUGGCCAUGAACUUGCCAUGGACCAUAAAUAAGGAAAAAUGGAUGGUAAGAAUGGCCAAUAUUCAGCUUAUAUGUGUGGCCCACCUGAAGAUUGGGACCAGCCUGCUCUUGGUACUAGACAUGUCCACAUUGAUUCCCACUUGGAACAUACUCCAGAUCUCUCACAUGUGCCCAAUUGCACACGUAAUCUCCUCUUACUCAUUGCUUUAGCAAUCCUCUUAUCAGAAACCCAUUUAAGAAAUUAGAUUUGGAGGUGGACUUUCCUUUUUCGGGACCUGCUUCUUGCCUUAGGGUGUCUUUGGUUGCACCUGAUCAAGAAAUUUCAUGAUAUUCGAUGCAACCAAACGCACCCUUAAGCAAAUUGACAGGGAUUAGAUGUAUUACUUGUGACUUGUGAGAAAAAUGCUGCGACCGCUAUUUACUUUGCAUCUCAAUGACUUCCGUAUUCAUUAUUGACAGUAUUUAUUUUCUAAUUUAGAGAAUUGUACAUUUGUAUGCAGGGACAUUUUUGCCAUCUACAGGAUGAUCAACAGAGGAUCUGGUUGUAAUUUAAUUUUUGUUUAGUCAUCGUAAUCUCAUCACAUUGUGCUGUGUAGUAAACAUCCUAUAGCUCUCUUUAGAUUUUUGGUAUUUCUAGCCUAGAAUAAAGAGACAACGCCCACUACUCCACGAAGCAUGAAAUUCUUGUGCCUCCACUCAUUCUGUAAACAUGACCUUUUGAUGAUGAUUCACACCAUCCAUUCAUCAUGCAGCUCCAUGAAUAGACCAUAGGCGAAAAUCACAAUGAGAGAUCAUGUAAAAAGAUGAUGCACAAAGACCACUAUGAUCCAGCCAUCUUUAAAUGGUCAGGAUUGUGAAGUCAUUGUGAUUUUUGGUCCAUGGCCCCUUUACAGUUGGCCCCAAUCAGUGAACAGUUCAGAUCAUCAUGCACAUGAACAUCCAAGGUCUAGUAGGUAGAUGCACAAAAGUUUUUUUUUUUUGGCUUUGGGGAGUUGUGAAUCUCAUCCCAUAGAUAAAAUAUGCUCCAUAGUUGAUAAAAGUGGACAGUUUCACAGCUGACACUCAUCUCAUAUCCAUCUCUAUACUUCAAACACAUCAUUACAUGAGUGUAAGGAUGCUAUGACUUGAUAAUUUAGAAAAAUAGUGGAACACCCAUUGUUUUGAACUUCUCUUGUUGAAGUUUGAUUACUUAUUUUUAUAAUUGUUAUUGGUUUAUUUAGCAACAGGAUUUUCAGAGAUCUUGUUGUUGUUUCUUACAUUGGUUUGAUCAUGAUCUUGUGCUAUCAUGUUUGGUUUACGAUCAAAUGUCAUUUUUUUUCCUGUAAUUAAACCCUCUAUAUUGUUCAUCCCCAUACAUUUAAAUUUAGCGUCUGUAGCAUCUAGCACUUUGAAAAGAAACAGGGGUGAAGAUGGCCUUUGAGGUCAUUUCUUAAGGUGAGAAUGGAGAUUACGGUCCUAAGAGUCAAGGAAGUUAAGGACCCAAAAAGCUAAAAGCUUUUUUGGGUGUAACCCAGAAUGAGACUGGUAUUGAAUGCUCAUUGGCAAGCACACAUUUUGCAGGCUUAGAUUGUUUACUGUGUCCCGCCAAAUGAAAAUCACAGGAAGCAUUAGAGGCUUGUAUAUAAAAAAUGCCCCCCAAAAUGAGAAUGGGCUGGUAACAUGUCUGACCUGUUAUUUUCCCGUCCUCAUUCAGUUCAGUCAAUGCACAUUCCCAUCCAUAUUUUCAGUUAGUCGAAACAGAGAUCUUUUUACAAGAUGGAUUUGGCAUUUUGGCAGCCCAGGUUUAGGAGAGUUCAGAUCCUUUUCCUCAAUACUUGAUUCAAGAUGAGGAGUCAAUAUUGUGUUGGCAAGAUAUGGAGUUGGUGAGUCAUCUUUUUUUGCACUGUUCAUUCUCUAGGGAGGUGUGGGAAAGAUUCUUCAGGCUCUUCGGUGUUUCUUGGGUUCUGCCAAGAUCAAUUGAUGACUUUUUCAGGCAGUGGCACAUAAGCGUUCAUGGUAAAUGUGGAACUGACAUGUAGAGGCUUUCUCUCCUAGCCGGCCUAUGGGCUGCUUGAAGGAAAGGAACAAUAGAUGCUUCCGGGAUGUGUGGCAAUCCAAGGGGAGUCUUUCCUCAAGCAAAAUCAAGUGUUUUUGAAUGGGCGGCAGCUAUAUCUAAAGUUGAGGCCUCAAGUUUGAGCGGGUUGUAGCGCAAGUUGUGCAGUUUGGGUUUUUCUUUUUCUUUUUUUCCUUGUAUUCUUUCGGCUUUGCCGUCUUCAUAAAUAAAUUAAAAAAAAAAGAAAAGAAAAAAACAACUUUGAUUCAAGUUCCAAAUGGAUUUGGCAUUUUGGCAGCCCAGAUGUAGGAGGAUUCGGAUCCUUUUCCUCAAAUACUUUGAUUCAAGUUCCACUGGCAUUCAAUCUUGCUUAUUAAAAUUAAAAUCUUUCCAGUUUGAAAAUGAACAUGGGAUAAUGAAGAAUUUCAUGAUCUGAAUCAGUUCCACUA